AACGAACGCUGGCGGCAUGCCUAACACAUGCAAGUCGAACGAGACCUUCGGGUCUAGUGGCGCACGGGUGCGUACCGCGUGGGAACCUGCCCUUAGGUUCGGAAUAACUCCCCGAAAGGGGUGCUAAUACCGGUUAAUGUCUUCGGACCAAAGAUUUAUCGCCUUUGGAUGGGCCCGCGUUGGAUUAGCUAGUUGGUAGGGUAAAAGCCUACCAAGGCGACGAUCCAUAGCUGGUCUGAGAGGAUGAUCAGCCACACUGGGACUGGGACACGGCCCAGACUCCUACGGGAGGCAGCAGUGGGGAAAAUUGGAGAAUGGGCGAAAGCCUGAUCCAGCAAGGCCGCGAGGGUGAUGAAGGCGUAGGGUUGUAAAGCUCUUUUACCCGGGAUGAUAAUGACAGUACCGGGAGAAUAAGCUCCGGCUAACUCCGUG
This 432-nucleotide ribosomal RNA is filed under the name uncultured bacterium. RNAcentral describes it as "partial 16S ribosomal RNA". It matches the Rfam family "Bacterial small subunit ribosomal RNA", at positions 29 to 507 of the family's 1533-position model. The record is from RNAcentral.